This 253-nucleotide ribosomal RNA is filed under the name uncultured bacterium. Its description in RNAcentral is "partial 16S ribosomal RNA". It matches the Rfam family "Bacterial small subunit ribosomal RNA", at positions 524 to 776 of the family's 1533-position model. The record is from RNAcentral.
UACGAAGGGUGCAAACGUUGCUCGGAAUCAUUGGGCGUAAAGCGCACGCAGGCGGCCUCAUAAGUCGGAUGUGAAAUCCCUCGGCUCAACCGAGGAAGUGCAUCCGAAACUGCGAGGCUCGAGUAUGGAAGAGGGUCGCAGAAUUCCCGGUGUAGAGGUGAAAUUCGUAGACAUCGGGAGGAAUACCAGUGGCGAAGGCGGCGACCUGGGCCAAUACUGACGCUGAGGUGCGAAAGCGUGGGGAGCAAACAGG